CUCAGUGGGUAGAGAUUGUUGACCUCGGUGAUCAAGUAUUAUUUAUCAGUGGGCUCAACAACAAAUUUAUCUCUCUCGGUAGUACUUUUCAUGAUAAAACAAUUGAAAAAAACUCAAUUUAUUUUAUUUUCGAUUCGUCCAAAACAUACGAAUGUGGGGUGUUUUCCUUGACAAAUAGGAGCAUCAUACUUUUGAAUAGUCCCAAGGAUCAUUUGCAUAUGGGAAUGGAUCGUACUGUUUGGUUCACACCAAAUUUUUGGUAGCUAGCUCAUAAUUAGGAUAUAGAUAUGCGUUUCAAUUUUGUGUACGACUCUUCAGAUCGACUGUGUAAAUUAUUCUUUCAGGUGUAUUGUUAGUGUCUUUAUUUUCUUUUCUUAUGCUCUUGCAUGUCCUUGUGUUAUUUCAUUUACGUGUGCAAUUCAACAAGGGAAGGCUCGGUUACUAUGCUUUUCCUGCUGGCCAUUUGUUGGUUACUAUUUCAGUUUUUCUGCUUUCUUCAUUUUAUCUGCUCGUUGUAAGUUACCGGUUGAUCUGAUUCACCUUGCAGAAUUGAGACUGCGUGCAUGUGUUAUUAUGGAAACUUGGGUGAUUGGGUUUGUUCUCAGCAAUAUGUGUAAAGGCUUGUUGUGAUGCCAAAGCAACUCCCAGCCCAUAUAUCUGAACGUGGUGAUUAGUACUCUAGCCAGCCUCACUAUUCUCCAUAUUGAAAACCAAACCGAAACCUCAUUGGUGCCUGCAGAACCAUAAGGUGGAGGAUGGUAAAGGGCUUUUUGUUAACACGCAGGAAAGAGACCUUUUAUCUUGGCCGGGACUGUGAUGGUAACUUGCUAUACUUGAAGGUGUGUGAUCUGGAAUACAAGGUACAUUGCUGCAUUAAGUGGAAACUUAAUUGACAUCAUUUUCCCUAUGAAUGUAGUCCUUUUGCAUACUAGCUUACCAGAAUUAACAUAAUUCCCAAGCCAAACCUUAAAUUGAGAAAGCAAUUCUGCUGGAGGUAAAGCCAGCAACUCUGGCCAUAAUGAAACAACACUCCUUCGUUUUGAUCACGAAAUGAUUAGCAGAAACACUAUUCCACAAAAGCUAUAAAACCACACUCGUCCUAAUUGAACUUGCUGACAUUUAUCCAAUUAAAUAGAGGUGGGAAACAGAGGCAAACAAUUACAAGGUAUACUGCAUACUCCAUUAAUAAAUGAAAUUACUAUCACUCAAAUUCCAGGCCAUGCACACACUUACGGCCUAAGUUUAUUUCAACAACAACAGAAAAAAUGAUAUUACAGCAUAAAUUGUGAAGUUCGUAGUUAUCAUUUACAGAGAACAUGCAUAACAACAAUUUUCUGAACCUUGCAAGAAAAACAUUGAGAAAACCAGAUAUGCUCACCGGAAGGGCUAUGACUUGUAGUAAGAGAGGACCGAAUAUAUGGUUUGCAGGACCGUAAGAACUAUAAUAAGGACAAUUGCAUUAGAAACUGACCAUAUUGAUGAGGGAUUGUACAAGUAGUUAUGUUUGAUGUAUACUAUCAAUCUUUGUAGCCAAUGUUGUUUAUAAUACUGUCUCACUGUCAAGGAAACUUGCCAACAAGACUUGCAACAGGAGGAAGUUGCAAAACCAUUGCAAAUGUUGUUGAAGAAAUCGGCUAUGUCUUCCUUGUUUAAACUGGUAUGAAUAAUCUCUUUCUCCAUGAGAAACUCCACAUCUUUACUAGAUUUAAUAAGGUCACCCAAUGCCCUGGCAUAUGUGCUAAUUUGAUACUUAUGGGGCCCUGAUUCACACUGUUCCAAGGCGAUGAGGUUUCUAAAGACAGGAUUAUCACCCUGGAUGGUUAUUGGUGCAAUCUCCAUCACUCCCUCGAGGAAGGUUAUGUUUAUGUUGAUGUUAUUUCUGUUGGGUUGAAAUAUGACUCCAAUUUGCUGAAGUUGCGAUGCAGAGGGCAUAGAGUCCCAAAAUGGCAUAAUCUCCUCUUUCUUGUCUAAUUCAGCAGAAAGGAUCCUGACAUUGUCAAGUAAAUGUCUGCUUUCCAAUGUCUGCUCUAGAUGAUCAUCAGACAUGGACCCCCGAAUCGGGAGACAACUGCGAGUAAGCUCAGAUAGUGACUUGUACAUUCCAUUAGGUACUUUUGUGAGUUGGAAUAAACAGUCAAGAACUCUCCAAGGCAGCUGGUUUUCUAGCAUAACCAAGUCACUUGUAAGUGUUGGUGACAUUGCUAAACUAAUAUUGAACAGUGGAUCAUCAGCGUCUGCAGGCACUUCUCCUUUUCUUUUGCGGUAGUAUUCAAGAAUAAAGCAGCCGUCAACCACCAUCAUUUCUACAAAUGCUUCACUGCUCAGAUGAUCAAGUUUUUCGUUAUAGCAUUCACGACAAUAGUCUUCCAUGCUUCUGAUUUUUUCAACAAUGUGCUCCAAUUUGGUCUCAAGAUUGGGUUUUCGAUCAAGCAGCUGGUGCAAGUACCAAAGCUUAAAUUCUUCCAUGGCUUGCAGAUUCUUUGUGCCAUGGUGAAAUGGUCCAA
This is a long non-coding RNA of Rosa chinensis, 2504 nucleotides long. RefSeq lists it as uncharacterized. The transcript is spliced from 2 exons. The record is from RefSeq and is a predicted model, not a curated record. Lineage: Eukaryota; Viridiplantae; Streptophyta; Magnoliopsida; Rosales; Rosaceae.